UGGACGAACGUGGUGCCCCGGCCAUCGGGCGGUUAAUUUUGGGUGCGGCUGUGCCCGCGGCCUAUUUUUGGCACACGGAGGUGCCUCGCAAACUCUCGCGCCAUUCCGAGUCCGGCGGACGAAAUUGGCCAGCCCCACCCCCCAAGGCUAUAGCCCACCCGUUUUUGUGGGCUUUUUCCGCUGGACGAAAUUGGCGCCCCGGCCUUCGGGCGGUUAUUUUGGCCGCGGCUGUGCCCGCGGCCUAUUUUUGGCACACGGAGGUGCCUCGCAAAGUCUCGCGCCAUUCCGAGUCAGGCGGACGAAGUUGGCCAGCCCCACCCCCCAAGGCUAUAGCCCACCCGUUUUUGUGGGCUUUUUCCGCAGGACGAACUUGGCGCCCCGGCCUUCGGGCGGUUAUUUUUGGGCGCGGCUGUGCCCGCGGCCACUUUUUGGCACACGGAGGCGCCGUACAAAGUCUCGCGCCAUUCCAAGUCCGGCGGACGAUGUUGGCCAGCCCCACCCCCCAAGGCUAUAGCCCACCCGUUUUUGUGGCAAUUUUCCGCUGGACGAACUUGGCGCCCCGGCCUUCGGGCGGUUAUUUUUGGGUGCGGCUGUGCCUGCGGCCUAUUUGUGGCCCACGGAGGCGCCUCGCAAAGUCUCGCGCCAUACCGUGUCCGGCGGACGAAGUUGGCCAGCCCCACCCCCCAAGGCUAUAGCCCACCUGUUUUUGUGGCCUUUUUCCGCUGGACGAACGUGGCUCCCCGGCCAUCGGGCUGUUAUUUUUUGGCGCGGCUUUGCCCGCAGCCAAUUUUUGGAACACGGAGGCGCCUCGCAAACUCUCGCGCCAUUCCGAGUCCGGCGGACGAAGUUGGCCAGCCCCACACCCCAAGGCAAUAGCCCACCCGAUUUUGUGGGCUUUAUCCGCUGGACGAACUUGGCGCCCCGGCCUUCGGGUGGUUAUUUUUGGGUGCGGCUGUGCCUGCGGCCUAUUUUUGGCUCACGGAGGCGCCUCAUAAAGUCUCGAACCAUUCCGAGUCCGGCGGACGAAGUUGGCCAGCCCCGCCCCCCAUGGCUAUAGCCCACCCGUUUUUGUGGCCUUUUUCCGCUGGACGAACGUGGUGCCCCGGCAAUCGGGCGGUUAUUUUUGGGUGCGGCUGUGCCUGCGGCCUAUUUUUGGCACACGGAGGUGCCUCGCAAACUCUCGCGCCAUUCCGAGUCCGGCGGACGAAAUUGGCCAGCCCCACCCCCCAAGGCUAUAGCCCACCCGUUUUUGUGGGCUUUUUCCCCUGGACGAACUUGGCGCCCCGGCCUUCGGGCGGUUAUUUUGGCCGCGGCUGUGUCCGCGGCCUAUUUUUGGCACACGGAGGUGCCUCGCAAAGUCUCGCGCCAUUCCGAGUCAGGCGGACGAAGUCGGCCAGCCCCACCCCCCAAGGCUAUAGCCCACCUGUUUUUGUGGCCUUUUUCCGCUGGACGAACGUGGCGCCCCGGCCAUCGGGCUGUUAUUUUUUGGCACGGCUGUGCCCGCGGCCUAUUUUUGGCACACGGAGGUGCCUCGCAAACUCUCGCGCCAUUCCGAGUCCGGCGGACGAAAUUGGCCAGCCCCACCCCCCCAAGGCUAUAGCCCACCCGUUUUUGUGGGCUUUUUCCGCAGGACGAACUUGGCGCCCCGGCCUUCGGGCGGUUAUUUUUGGGCGCGGCUGUGCCCACGGCCACUUUUUGGCACACGGAGGCGCCUUGCAAAGUCUCGCGCCAUUCCGAGUCCGGCGGACGAUGUUGGCCAGCCCCACCCCCCAAGGCUAUAGCCCACCCGUUUUUGUGGCAUUUUUCCGCUGGACGAACUUGGCGCCCCGGACAUCGGGCGGUUAUUUUUGGCUGCGGCUGUGCCUGCGGCCUAUUUUUGGCCCACGGAGGCGCCUCGCAAAGUCUCGCGCAAUUCCGUGUCCGGCGGACGAAGUUGGCCAGCCCCACCCCCCAAGGCUAUAGCCCACCUGUUUUUGUUGCCUUUUUCCGCCGGACGAACUUGGCGCCCCGUGCUUCGGGCAGUUAUUUUUGGGUACAGCUGUGCCCGAGGCCUAUUUUUGUCACGCGGAGGCCCCUCUUAAAGUCUCGCGGCAUUCCGAGUCCGGUGGACGAACAUGGCCAGCCCCACCCCCCAAGGCUAUAGCCAACCCGUUUUUGUGGCCUUUUUCCGCUGGACGAACUUGGCGCCCCAGCCUUCGGGUGGUUAUUUUUGGGCGCGGCUUUUCCCGUGGCCUAUUUUUGGCACACGGAGGCCCCUCGCAAAGUCUCGGGGCAUUCUGAGUCCGGCGGACGAAGUUGGCCAGCCCCACCACCCAAGGCUAUAGCCCACCCGUUUUUGAGGCCUUUUUCCGCUGGACGAACUUGGCGCCCCGGCCUUCGGGCGGUUAUUUUUGGGCGCGGCUUUGUCCACGGCCUAUUUUUGGCAAAUGGAGGUGCCUCGCAUAGUCUCGCGCCAUUCCGGGUCCGGCAGACGAAGUUGGCCAGCCCCACCCUCCAAGGCUAUAGCCCACCUGUUUUUGUUGCCUUUUUCCGCCGGACGAACUUGGCGCCCCGUGCUUCGGGCAGUUAUUUUUGGGUACAGCUAUGCCCGAGGCCUAUUUUUGUCACGCGGAGGCCCCUCUUAAAGUCUCGCGGCAUUCCGAGUCCGGCGGACGAACAUGGCCAGCCCCACCCCCCAAGGCUAUAGCCAACCCGUUUUUGUGGCCUUUUUCCGCUGGACGAACUUGGCGCCCCAGCCUUCGGGUGGUUAUUUUUGGGCGCAGCUUUGCCCGUGGCCUAUUUUUGGCACACGG
RNAcentral lists this long non-coding RNA (2792 nucleotides) under Citrus x clementina. Its description in RNAcentral is "Citrus clementina (C. clementina) long non-coding RNA (CCLE_LNC006007)". Lineage: Eukaryota; Viridiplantae; Streptophyta; Magnoliopsida; Sapindales; Rutaceae. The record is from RNAcentral.